AGCGUUUAAAAAUCUCUCAGUCCUUUAAUAGAGAUCGCGGAUCUAGCAACACCGCUCUCCGACUUCCACCUCUUGGUUCACUGCACAUCCAACCCCUCCGCCCCAGCAGGCAUUUCCUCCACCGGAAUAAAAUUCCGAUCCACUCUUCAGACAAUUCGAUCCGGUACUUAGUGUGAAAUGGAGAAGUCAUGCUCUUUGCUGAUACAUUUUGACAAGAGCACUCCAGCUAUUGCCAAUGAGAUCAAGGAAUCCCUUGAAGGGAAUGAUGUCUCUGCCAAGAUUGAGGCCAUGAAGAAAGCAAUCAUGCUUUUGUUAAAUGGGGAAACUCUACCCCAGUUAUUUAUCACGAUUAUUAGAUAUGUGUUGCCAUCUGAGGACCACACAAUUCAGAAACUGUUGUUGUUGUAUUUGGAGAUCAUUGAGAAGACAGACUCUAAGGGACGUGUGCUACCUGAGAUGAUCUUGAUCUGCCAGAACUUGAGGAAUAAUUUGCAGCAUCCGAAUGAGUACAUCCGUGGAGUUACUCUGAGGUUCCUUUGCCGCCUGAAUGAGGUUGAUAUCAUUGAACCUCUGAUUCCUUCCAUUAUGAGCAACUUGGAGCACCGGCAUCCAUAUGUACGGAGGAAUGCAAUUCUUGCUAUCAUGUCUGUAUACAAGCUUCCACAAGGCGAGCAGCUUUUGGCAGAUGCUCCUGAGAAGAUUGAGAAUGUUCUUUCUACAGAACAGGACCCAUCAGCUAAGAGGAAUGCAUUUCUGAUGCUUUUCCAUUGUUCCCAGGAACGUGCAAUUAAUUAUCUACUGACAAAUGUGGAUAGAAUUCCAGACUGGGGUGAGUUACUUCAGAUGGUUGUCUUGGAUUUGAUUCGAAAAGUUUGCAGGACUAACAAAGCAGAGAAGGGGAGGUAUAUAAAGAUUAUUAUAUCUCUGCUAAAUGCCCCUUCUGCUGCUGUUAUCUAUGAAUGUGCUGGAACUCUUGUUUCUUUGUCUUCGGCCCCUACAGCUAUUAGAGCUGCUGCUAAUACUUACUGUCAGCUUCUUCUCUCUCAGAGUGACAACAAUGUUAAGCUUAUAGUACUUGAUCGGCUCAAUGAACUAAAAUCUUCUCACAGAGAUAUUAUGGUUGAUAUGAUAAUGGAUGUUCUUAGAGCACUUUCGAGCCCAAACCUGGACAUUAGGAGGAAAACGCUUGACAUUGUUCUGGAAUUGAUCACUCCCAGAAAUAUUAAUGAGGUUGUCCUCACGCUGAAGAAAGAAGUUGUGAAGACUCAAGCUGGGGAGCUUGAGAAGAAUGGGGAAUACCGUCAAAUGCUUAUCCAAGCCAUUCAUUCUUGUGCAGUAAAGUUCCCAGAAGUAGCAAGCACAGUGGUCCAUCUGUUGAUGGAUUUCUUGGGUGACAACAAUGUUGCUUCUGCUAUUGAUGUGGUUGUUUUUGUGAGAGAAAUAAUUGAAACCAACCCAAAAUUGAGGGUUUCCAUUGUUACUAGGUUACUGGACACUUUCUACCAGAUCCGUGCUGCACGAGUCUGUUCCUGCGCACUUUGGAUCAUUGGAGAGUAUUGUCUCUCUCUUUCUGAAGUUGAGAGUGGUAUUGCAACUAUCAAGCAGUGCCUAGGUGAACUCCCAUUUUACUCAGCUUCUGAAGAAGGGGAAGCUGCUGAUUCUUCAAAAAAGCCUCAACAAGUGAACUCCAUUACUGUUUCAUCUCGAAGACCUGCUAUCCUUGCUGAUGGUACCUAUGCUACUCAAAGCGCAGCCUCUGAAACUGCUUUCUCUCCUCCAACUGUUGUCCAAGGAUCUUUGACUACUGGAAACUUGAGAUCUCUUCUUCUUACUGGUGAUUUCUUCCUGGGAGCAGUUAUUGCAUGCACACUGACAAAGCUGACACUAAGGUUGGAAGAAGUUCAACCAUCAAAAGUUGAAGUGAACAAAGCAACCACAGAUGCAUUAUUGAUUAUGGUCUCAAUAAUUCAGCUUGGGCAGUCUUCAGUUCUUCCUCAUCCAAUUGAUAAUGAUUCUCAUGACAGGAUUGUGCUUUGUAUAAGAUUGCUAUGUAACACUGGGGAUGAAGUCAGGAAGAUCUGGUUGAAAUCUUGCCGAGAGAGUUUUGUGAAAAUGCUAUCAGAUAAACAACUGCGUGAGACUGAGGAGAUUAAAGCAAAGGCUCAAAUCUCUCACUCCCAACCAGAUGAUCUCAUUGAUUUCUAUCAUUUGAAGAGCAGGAGGGGCAUGAGCCAAUUGGAGCUGGAAGAUCAAGUGCAGGAUGAUCUGAAGCGUGCUACCGGAGAAUUUGUCAAAGACGAGAAUGAUGCCAAUAAACUAAAUCGUAUUCUUCAACUGACUGGAUUUAGUGACCCAGUUUAUGCUGAGGCUUAUGUUACAGUUCAUCAUUAUGAUAUUGUCCUGGAUGUUACUGUAAUCAAUAGAACCAAGGAGACCCUACAGAAUUUAUGUUUGGAAUUAGCCACUAUGGGUGAUCUCAAACUAGUUGAGCGUCCUCAGAAUUACACUCUUGCUCCUGAGUCAAACAAGCAGAUCAAAGCAAACAUCAAGGUCUCCUCAACAGAGACUGGAGUCAUUUUUGGCAACAUUGUAUAUGAGACUUCAAAUGUGCUUGAGCGCACUGUUGUUGUGCUAAACGACAUUCAUAUUGACAUCAUGGAUUAUAUCUCCCCUGCAGUGUGCAGUGAUGCUGCUUUUAGAACUAUGUGGGCAGAAUUUGAGUGGGAGAACAAGGUUGCUGUCAAUACUGUCAUUCAAGACGAGAAAGAAUUUCUGGACCAUAUUAUCAAAUCAACCAAUAUGAAGUGCUUGACGGCUCUAUCUGCACUGGAGGGUGAAUGUGGAUUCCUAGCUGCUAACUUGUAUGCCAAGAGUGUGUUUGGGGAGGAUGCUUUGGUGAAUGUGAGCAUUGAGAAACAAGCAGAUGGUAAGCUGAGUGGUUAUAUUAGGAUAAGGAGCAAAACUCAAGGAAUUGCUCUCAGCUUGGGGGACAAAAUCACUCUCAAGCAGAAAGGUGGCAGCUGAUCCAGUAAACACAAUGUUAGAGUCAGUGAAUUAUUCUGAUAGAAGAGGUGAUUGUUGGUCUCUAAAAUUAGCUCAGAUAUGAUUUGCUGGGUUUUAAUUUGAGGCUUCUUCUGGUCUUCCGCUUGCAGCUCGGAAGGUGCUGGCAACUACUAAAAGAACCUGUAGAAUUUUAUUACUGCCUUUCUUCUUUUUUUUUUUCACAUUUCAAUUGGAGUCUUUUGCAGAAAAUUUUUGUAGAGAAGACUUGAAUAUUUGAUAGGAAUACCUUUUCUUGCCUUUUGUUUGGUUUGAGUGUAUAAUCUUUAUCCACUUAGAAGUCUGAGUUCUAAUUGCUCCUGCCCAGUGAAGACCUGAAGAAAUAAAGACAACAUCGGAACUUCUGAUUUCCUUACAGU
Molecule: RNA transcript, 3419 nt
Organism: Ipomoea nil (Japanese morning glory)
Lineage: Eukaryota; Viridiplantae; Streptophyta; Magnoliopsida; Solanales; Convolvulaceae
Gene name: coatomer subunit beta-1
Exons: 7
Source: RefSeq, a predicted model, not a curated record